This is a long non-coding RNA of Ochotona curzoniae (black-lipped pika), 992 nucleotides long. RefSeq lists it as uncharacterized. The record is from RefSeq and is a predicted model, not a curated record. The transcript is spliced from 3 exons. NCBI's taxonomy places the organism in Eukaryota, Metazoa, Chordata, Mammalia, Lagomorpha, Ochotonidae.
AGAGGAGACUGUCCCUAUCUGGAAAGUGAGUGUGAGUCCCUCUGCAGGGUUACACGAAGCUGCUUGCCCCCCAGCACAUCGGAAGGGCUUGGAGGAGCAGCCUUCGCAGCCAGCACUCUGCAGGAAGCUUGCACGCAGGAAUAGCUCAAGUGCCUGAACUGGAGGUUGGCUUGCUGAAACUCUGAAGCAGCAGUUCUUGGACUUGAAGAAAAGGAGGUUCCCGCCUUGACCAGAGACCGUGGCCCUUCCUCACAGCCCUCUCAGGACCCACCCUCCCAGCAACCCCCUUGGAAAAGAUGCGGCAGCUCAAGGGGAAGCCGAAGAAGGAGAGCUCCAGGGACAAGAAGGAGCGGAAGCAGGCCAUGCAGGAGGCCCGGCAGCAGAUCACCACGGUGGUGCUGCCCACCCUGGCCGUGGUUGUGCUCCUGAUUGUGGUGUUUGUGUACGUGGCUACACGGCCCACUGUCACCGAGUGAGUGCGCUGCUGGCCCCGGACACCGUGGGCUGGGAGAGGAGGCGCUGGAGGGGGAGACAAGCGCAGAAAUGGCUUUCCUCCUCUGAGAUGUCCGUGACGCUGAGCUAUAUGCGGGAGCACCCUGUCUUCUCUAGUCUUUGACUUGAUUAAAGUUCUCCACUUUUCUUGGGGGGGGAAUAGGGGACGUUUUUAUCAGUGAAUGUGCCAUGUACCUUAUGGUCCACUUCAUGUGCCUUUCAGACUUCAAAAUAGAGUGAGAGAGUGAGAGAGUGUGUGUGUUUUCUCCCCUGAAAUCAGUAGGUAGCUCCACCUGGGGAGACAAGUGUCUCUGGAUCACCAAGCAGCUGGAAUCAGUACUCACUUCACCCCCAUUGUCUGGAACAUGACUCUUUGCUACACGUGUUCACAAUUUCCAAAGGGACUGUAUUUCUCCUCUGUGCUUAAUGUGAUUUGAAAUACUUUGUUGACUCAAAGUGAAAUAUUUAUUUUUUUGAAUAAAGGAGAUAAUAGCCUUAAA